AGUCGAACGAACAAAUUGCUGCUGCUUAAUUUUAGUGAGUGGCAAUGAGUAACACGUGGGAAUCUACCUAUCAGUACGGAAUAACAUUUGGAAACAGAUGCUAAUACCGUAUAUUCUCCAAGGGAGGAAAGAUUUAUCGCUAGAUAGAUGAGCCCGCGCAAGAUUAGGUAGUUGGUAGGGUAAUGGCCUACCAAGCCGACAAUCUUUAGCUGGUCUGAGAGGAUGAUCAGCCACACUGGGACUGAGACACGGCCCAGACUCCUACGGGAGGCAGCAGUGGGGAAUAUUGGACAAUGGGCGAAAGCCUGAUCCAGCAAUACCGCGUGAGUGAUGAAGGCCUUAGGGUUGUAAAGUACUUUUAGUUGGAAAGAUAAUGACGGUACCAACAGAAAAAGCCCCGGCAUAACUCCGUGCCA
This 416-nucleotide ribosomal RNA is filed under the name uncultured Rickettsiales bacterium. RNAcentral's name for it is "bacterial SSU rRNA". It matches the Rfam family "Bacterial small subunit ribosomal RNA", at positions 60 to 510 of the family's 1533-position model. The record is from RNAcentral. Lineage: Bacteria; Pseudomonadati; Pseudomonadota; Alphaproteobacteria; Rickettsiales.